CGUGAGAAUCUGCCAAAGGGACUGGGACAACAGCUGGAAACGGCUGCUAAUACCGGAUAUGCCAGAAAGUGAAAUGGGUAAAACCGCCUUUUGAUGAGCUCGCGUCCGAUUAGCUAGUUGGUGGGGUAAAAGCCUACCAAGGCGACGAUCGGUAACUGGUCUGAGAGGAUGACCAGUCACACUGGGACUGAGACACGGCCCAGACUCCUACGGGAGGCAGCAGUGGGGAAUUUUCCGCAAUGGGCGAAAGCCUGACGGAGCAAUACCGCGUGAGGGAGGAAGGCUCUUGGGUUGUAAACCUCUUUUCUCAGGGAAGAACACAAUGACGGUACCUGAGGAAUCAGCAUCGGCUAACUCCGUGCCAGCAGCCGCGGUAAUACGGAGGAUGCAAGCGUUAUCCGGAAUGAUUGGGCGUAAAGCGUCCGCAGGUGGCUUUGCA
RNAcentral lists this ribosomal RNA (439 nucleotides) under uncultured cyanobacterium. RNAcentral describes it as "bacterial SSU rRNA". It matches the Rfam family "Bacterial small subunit ribosomal RNA", at positions 116 to 585 of the family's 1533-position model. Lineage: Bacteria; Bacillati; Cyanobacteriota. The record is from RNAcentral.